UACGGGGGGAGCAAGCGUUGUUCGGAUUUACUGGGCGUAAAGGGCGCGUAGGCGGCCACCGCAAGUCGACUGUGAAAUCUCCGGGCUUAACCCGGAAAGGUCAGCCGAUACUGCGGGGCUAGAGUGCAGAAGGGGCAACUGGAAUUCUCGGUGUAGCGGUGAAAUGCGUAGAUAUCGAGAGGAACACCUGCGGCGAAGGCGGGUUGCUGGGCUGAUACUGACGCUGAGGCGCGAAAGCCAGGGGAGCGAACGGG
Molecule: ribosomal RNA, 254 nt
Filed under: uncultured bacterium
Lineage: Bacteria
Description: partial 16S ribosomal RNA
Rfam family: Bacterial small subunit ribosomal RNA
Source: RNAcentral